This 491-nucleotide ribosomal RNA is filed under the name uncultured bacterium. Its description in RNAcentral is "partial 16S ribosomal RNA". It matches the Rfam family "Bacterial small subunit ribosomal RNA", at positions 29 to 507 of the family's 1533-position model. The record is from RNAcentral.
GUGAACGCUGGCGGUAGGCCUAACACAUGCCAGUCGAACGGCAGCACAGUAAGAGCUUGCUCUUACGGGUGGCGAGUGGCGGACGGGUGAGGAAUACAUCGGAAUCUACUUUUUCGUGGGGGAUAACGUAGGGAAACUUACGCUAAUACCGCAUACGACCUACGGGUGAAAGCAGGGGAUCUUCGGACCUUGCGCGAUUGCAUGAGCCGAUGUCGGAUUAGCUAGUUGGCGGGGUAAAGGCCCACCAAGGCGACGAUCCGUAGCUGGUCUGAGAGGAUGAUCAGCCACACUGGAGCUGAGACACGGUCCAGACUCCUACGGGAGGCAGCAGUGGGGAAUAUUGGACAAUGGGCGCAAGCCUGAUCCAGCCAUACCGCGUGGGUGAAGAAGGCCUUCGGGUUGUAAAGCCCUUUUGUUGGGAAAGAAAAGCAGCAGGUUAAUACCCCGCUGUUCUGACGGUACCCAAAGAAUAAGCACCGGCUAACUUCGUG